Molecule: ribosomal RNA, 253 nt
Filed under: uncultured bacterium
Lineage: Bacteria
Description: partial 16S ribosomal RNA
Rfam family: Bacterial small subunit ribosomal RNA
Source: RNAcentral
UACGUAGGGUGCAAGCGUUGUCCGGAAUUAUUGGGCGUAAAGAGCUCGUAGGCGGUCUGUCGCGUCGGCUGUGAAAACCCGGGGCUCAACUCCGGGCUUGCGGGCGAUACGGGCAGGCUAGAGUUCGGUAGGGGAGACUGGAAUUCCUGGUGUAGCGGUGAAAUGCGUAGAUAUCAGGAGGAACACCGGUGGCGAAGGCGGGUCUCUGGGCCGAUACUGACGCUGAGGAGCGAAAGCGUGGGGAGCGAACAGG